GCCAGGCACAGUGGCGUGUGCCUGUAGUCCCAGCUACUCGGGAGGCUGAAGGCUAGUGGAUGGCUUGAGCCCAGGAGUUCUGGGCUGUAGUGCGCUAUGAUGAUUGGGUGUCCGCACUAAGUUCGGCAUCAAUAUGGUGACCUCCCGGGAGCUGGGGACCACCAGGUUGCCUAAGGAGGGGUGCAACGGCCCAGGUCAGACACAGAGCAGGUCAAAACUCCCGUUCUGAUCAGUAGUGGGAUCGCGCCUGUGAAUAGCCGCUGUACUCCAGCCUGGGCAACAUAGCAAGACCCUGUCUCU
This 300-nucleotide signal recognition particle RNA is filed under the name Saimiri boliviensis boliviensis (Bolivian squirrel monkey). RNAcentral describes it as "Metazoan signal recognition particle RNA (ENSSBOG00000015762.1)". It matches the Rfam family "Metazoan signal recognition particle RNA". From Rfam's summary of the family: The signal recognition particle (SRP) is a universally conserved ribonucleoprotein. The record is from RNAcentral. Lineage: Eukaryota; Metazoa; Chordata; Mammalia; Primates; Cebidae.